GAGGGGCGUGGACGGUGAGGGCCUAUGCUGUGUUGAGCAGCAAAAGAAGUCGAGAUCCUAGAAUCAAUGAGCUGGAAGAACACGAGGAAGCCGGAGGGCAGAGGCUUGAAGUUGAGAUUUCAGAAACGGUGCAGUUUCACACUCAGGAUUGACACGGGAGGUGGUGGCUGAGGUGACACGAUGGAAGUGGCUGUCGGAGAUUGCUCUCCAGUGGCAGAGUGCAAACGACUUGACCUGGGAAACAGAAAGACGUGGGUUCAAGAUGCCCCUUUCCCACUCACUAGCAUUUGCUUAACCGUCCUGCCACUCAGCUUCCGUGCUUGCAAAAUAGCAAUAGGAACACCUCCCCACAGGGCGCUAAGAGGACUGGAGAACUUGUCUACAAGGUCGCUGAGCAGAAUGGGAUCCCCAGGAAAGGUAGACACCACAGUUAUCAGUUGUAUUAAUAUUCACCCACCAGGUGUCACGAAGAGCAAUGGCAUGACCGACCACUGCUGGGAUGUUGAGAACACAAGGAGACUAGGUUUGGGAACCUCUUUGUGCAUAACUGCUAAGUCCUGAACUUCUGUUCUAAAAUAAUGGAUGAAUAUGAUGCGUUGAAGAGCCCAGGAAUGAUGUCUAGCAUCUCGAUGUGCUCACUUAAUGUCCCGAGAUGUGCUAACUUGUGCUCUUCACUAUUAACAGGGUCUUUACUGGGGCAAGAGAUUUUCAUUAAAUUGGUCUCUUACACUUUACAGUUUCAAGUGGCGCUUUUUGGGGGCUUGUGAAGUUCCUGAGAAUAGCUGCAAGGAACUCAUGAAACUGUCUUUUUUUUUUUAACCUGAUGAAAC
Long non-coding RNA from Lemur catta (Ring-tailed lemur), 830 nucleotides. RefSeq lists it as uncharacterized. NCBI's taxonomy places the organism in Eukaryota, Metazoa, Chordata, Mammalia, Primates, Lemuridae. The record is from RefSeq and is a predicted model, not a curated record. The transcript has 3 exons.